Molecule: long non-coding RNA, 1776 nt
Filed under: Hordeum vulgare
Lineage: Eukaryota; Viridiplantae; Streptophyta; Magnoliopsida; Poales; Poaceae
Description: long non-coding RNA (HVUL_LNC020040)
Source: RNAcentral
UGUAGAUAGUUUUAUGAUUUUAUGUAGUCCCUCGCGUUAGGUAAAAAAAGGUUUCCGUGUUUUGUACAAUGAUGAGCCCAAACCAAAUUGACACAACUUUUUAUGAAUUAGUUUUGUACACAAUUAUGUUUAUUCUCAUACAAGAAUACUGGUUAUGGUAAGCACCGCUACGCUAAGUUAAGACGAGGCACAUCAUUCAUCGGUAUAGCUCAGGCAGGAUUCGUAAAUGUAGUUUGCUCAGCUAUAAAAUAUUAUGUUGUGACGCCUUAAGAAAUCAAGUCGCGACGAGCAUCAUAUUUUUUGUUUAUGAAAUCAUACUUUUUAUAUCUACCGCACCUAUAUAAUCUAAUAGUUUUUUCCCGUUGCAUCGCACGGGCAUAUUUGCUAGUAAUACAUAAUCAUAUAAGUGAUUGAAUACACACACAUGGUGGUGGUUUCGACUACCUUCCUAAUACUUUUCCCUAGUUCCUUGCUACUAGCAGUAUCCUCAUGAUUUGUGAUAUUUGCCAUUUAAUUUUAAUUUCUUAAUUUAACAAAUAUACAAUUAGUUCUUUGAUUAUAUGGGACAGAUGAUGGAUACACUUCCCAUGAUACGAAUAAAAGUGUGGGCUAUACUUUGAAGGAAGAUGUUAAUUUAUAGGCCAGACGCUUCAUGGGAUUAUGAGCCUGUCAGCCUGGUGGGCUUGAAGACCUGUAGCAACCAGAAAAGCCCUCAAUUUGGGGGGUCUGAUCCUUCUCACGGGCUGCACAUCCCUGGGUCUCGGCCUAUUCAUGAAUGAUUGCUUUGAGGAAUUGGCAGGUUUACCGCCUAUAUAAACGUUUGGUUGUUACCUGUGGCUCACACAGUUAUUACAUUAUCAUCGGAUAGCCACUGAAUGAAAAUUUGGCUGAUGAAUGCUUGCUUGUCCCAACUUUUAGCACCACAAACUCACAUUCUCUGGCAAUUGUUCUAUUUUCACAAAUUCUUUCUCAUCUUCAAGCUAUUCUGGUGUUUAUAGAUGUGAAGGUUACACCAUCAACGCCUGACACCUCUACGCUCUUAUACAGCGAACUACUGUCUUAAUCCUAGAGCAUCAAGGCAGCCUCACCAUUCAUAAAAUGUAUCUAAUUUAUUUGGCUUACUUUAGUAUCUCACGAAGGCACAACGCUUACAAGACCCACGUCAAAUAUUUCUCGGUAUGUAUACAUUCUUGAACAAUAAGAUAUGACAAACCAAAAGUAACAACCGCACCAUCUGAUGGGAUGGUAGGGCAUGUUGGUAUACAUAGCAUUUUCGAGAGAAAAUAAGUUGGUAUAUAUAGCGAAACGCUUAAACCGCUGAACUUGUGAUGUGUUAUCAUGUAUAAACAACUGCACGUUCACAGGUUGUUGAUGAACACCGCCGCCCACCAAUUUAGCAACUUGUGUGAUUCGAAAAGUAUGUGUGUCUCUUAACAGGAUUUUGGCGUAGGCCAGGUGCAACAUAGUUUUUCUCUCACGUGGUGAUACCAUCAGAUUUUGCCGAAGAGCAAUACAAUCCUAUGUUUAAGAGUUGGGUUAAAUUAGUUAUAGUUGGGCAAUUUAAUUAGGCCACCAGUUAGGAUAAAGGAGAUGAUUUGUAGUGAGGCCAUAUAAUGAAAGGGGUGAUGCUUUUCUCUUAAAAAUAUUGUGUGUGGUCCUGCAUAGUGUCCUUGUAUUAGGUAGCUAGUUGAGGCGAAUGGUGUGCACUUGUAUAAUAGGUAAUCACAUAAGUGAUUGAAUACACACACUAGUAGAAAAAGAACCUUUCGUUCGGAG